GCGUUGCCCGGAUUUAUUGGGCGUAAAGGGCGCGUAGGCGGUCACGCACGUCCGUUGUGAAAUCGCUCGGCUCAACUGGGCGGGGUCAGCGGAUACGGCGUGGCUGGAGCAAGCUAGGGGGCAAUGGAAUUCCCGGUGUAGUGGUGGAAUGCGUAGAUAUCGGGAGGAACACCAGUGGCGAAGGCGGUUGCCUGGAGCUUUGCUGACGCUGAUGCGCGAAAGCGUG
RNAcentral lists this ribosomal RNA (226 nucleotides) under uncultured bacterium. RNAcentral describes it as "partial 16S ribosomal RNA". It matches the Rfam family "Bacterial small subunit ribosomal RNA", at positions 538 to 763 of the family's 1533-position model. The record is from RNAcentral.